CAGUAGCCGCGGGAAUACAGAGGGUGCGAGCGUUAAUCGGAUUUACUGGGCGUAAAGCGUGCGUAGGCGGCUAAUUGAGUCGGAUGUGAAAUCCCCGAGCUUAACUUGGGAAUUGCAUUCGAUACUGGGAAGCUAGAGUAUGGGAGAGGAUGGUAGAAUUCCAGGUGUAGCGGUGAAAUGCGUAGAGAUCUGGAGGAAUACCGAUGGCGAAGGCAGCCAUCUGGCCUAAUACUGACGCUGAGGUACGAAAGCAUGGGGAGCAAACAGGAUUAGAGACCCCCGUAGUCCCUGUCUCUUAUAC
RNAcentral lists this ribosomal RNA (301 nucleotides) under uncultured bacterium. RNAcentral describes it as "partial 16S ribosomal RNA". It matches the Rfam family "Bacterial small subunit ribosomal RNA", at positions 509 to 807 of the family's 1533-position model. The record is from RNAcentral.